CACCUACGGGGCGCAGCAGUAGGGAAUUUUCGUCAAUGGGCGCAAGCCUGAACGAGCAAUGCCGCGUGAACGAGGAAGGUCUUCGGAUCGUAAAGUUCUGUUGAAGGGGAAAAAGAGCGGAGAGAGGAAAUGGUCUCCGAUUGAUAUUACCCUUCGAGGAAGCCACGGCUAACUACGUGCCAGCAGCCGCGGUAAUACGUAGGGGGCGAGCGUUAUCCGGAAUGAUUGGGCGUAAAGGGUGCGUAGGCGGCCUGCUAAGUCUGGAGUGAAAGGUACCGGCUCAACAGGAACAGGCUCUGGAAACG
RNAcentral lists this ribosomal RNA (305 nucleotides) under uncultured bacterium. Its description in RNAcentral is "bacterial SSU rRNA". It matches the Rfam family "Bacterial small subunit ribosomal RNA", at positions 335 to 634 of the family's 1533-position model. The record is from RNAcentral.